This 484-nucleotide ribosomal RNA is filed under the name uncultured bacterium. RNAcentral's name for it is "partial 16S ribosomal RNA". It matches the Rfam family "Bacterial small subunit ribosomal RNA", at positions 30 to 507 of the family's 1533-position model. The record is from RNAcentral.
AUUGAACGCUGGCGGAAUGCUUUACACAUGCAAGUCGAACGGCAGCACGGGGGCAACCCUGGUGGCGAGUGGCGAACGGGUGAGUAAUACAUCGGAACGUGCCCGGUCGUGGGGGAUAACGUAGCGAAAGUUACGCUAAUACCGCAUACGAUCUGAGGAUGAAAGCGGGGGACCUUCGGGCCUCGCGCGAUCGGAGCGGCCGAUGUCAGAUUAGGUAGUUGGUGGGGUAAAGGCCUACCAAGCCGACGAUCUGUAGCUGGUCUGAGAGGACGACCAGCCACACUGGGACUGAGACACGGCCCAGACUCCUACGGGAGGCAGCAGUGGGGAAUUUUGGACAAUGGGCGCAAGCCUGCUCCAGCCAUUCCGCGUGCAGGACGAAGGCCUUCGGGUUGUAAACUGCUUUUGUAUGGAACGAAAAGGCUCUGGCUAAUACCUGGGGCUCAUGACGGUACCGUAAGAAUAAGCACCGGCUAACUACGUG